This 253-nucleotide ribosomal RNA is filed under the name uncultured bacterium. Its description in RNAcentral is "partial 16S ribosomal RNA". It matches the Rfam family "Bacterial small subunit ribosomal RNA", at positions 524 to 776 of the family's 1533-position model. The record is from RNAcentral.
UACGUAGGGGGCAAGCGUUGUCCGGAAUCAUUGGGCGUAAAGCGCGUGUAGGCGGCUGGCUAAGUCCGCUCUGAAAGCCCGGGGCUCAACCCCGGGAGGCGGGUGGAUACUGGUCAGCUCGAGUCCGGAAGAGGAGUGUGGAAUUCCUGGUGUAGCGGUGAAAUGCGCAGAUAUCAGGAGGAACACCAAUGGCGAAGGCAGCACUCUGGGACGGUACUGACGGCGAGACGCGAAAGCGUGGGGAGCAAACAGG